CUGUCAGCACAGAGCCCGACGCGGGGCUCGAACUCCUGGACUGUGAGAUCAUGACCUGAGCCGAAGUUGGACGCUGAACCGACUGAGCCACCCAGGCGCCCCUACAGAGUUGAUUUUAACAGGUUGAAACAUUCUUGCAUUCUGGGAGUAAACCUCACUUGCUCAAGAGAUGCAUACUGAAGUAUUCACUGGUAAAAUGAUAUCUGGGAUUUGCUGCAAAAUACUUCAGCAGAGAAAACCAAAAAGGAAGAGGGGAAGAGCAGAAUGUUGACACCUGCUGAAGCCAAUGCACAGAUGCUCUUUGAAAAUUCUCGCUUUGUAUUUGUAAAAUUUUCAUAAUAAAUUUUAAAUUUAAUAAUC
Molecule: long non-coding RNA, 360 nt
Organism: Prionailurus viverrinus (fishing cat)
Lineage: Eukaryota; Metazoa; Chordata; Mammalia; Carnivora; Felidae
Exons: 2
Source: RefSeq, a predicted model, not a curated record